Molecule: ribosomal RNA, 403 nt
Filed under: Verrucomicrobiota bacterium
Lineage: Bacteria; Pseudomonadati; Verrucomicrobiota
Description: Verrucomicrobia bacterium partial 16S ribosomal RNA
Rfam family: Bacterial small subunit ribosomal RNA
Source: RNAcentral
UGGGGAAUAUUGCACAAUGGGCGCAAGCCUGAUGCAGCAACGCCGCGUGAACGAUGAAGGUCUUCGGAUCGUAAAGUUCUGUUGCAGGGGAAGAUAAUGACGGUACCCUGUGAGGAAGCCCCGGCUAACUACGUGCCAGCAGCCGCGGUAAUACGUAAGGGGCUAGCGUUAUCCGGAUUUACUGGGCGUAAAGGGUGCGUAGGUGGUCUUUCAAGUCGGUGGUUAAAGGCUACGGCUCAACCGUAGUUAGCCUCCGAAACUGGAAGACUUGAGUGCAGGAGAGGAAAGUGGAAUUCCCAGUGUAGCGGUGAAAUGCGUAGAUAUUGGGAGGAACACCAGUAGCGAAGGCGGCUUUCUGGACUGCAACUGACACUGAGGCACGAAAGCGUGGGUAGCAAACAGG